GACGAACGCUGGCGGCGUGCUUAACACAUGCAAGUCGAACGGAAAGGCCCCUUUGGGGGUACUCGAGUGGCGAACGGGUGAGUAACACGUGAGUAACCUGCCCUUGACUUCGGGUUAACUUCAGGAAACUGGGGCUAAUUCCGGAUAGGAAUCCUUGCUGCAUGGGGGGGGUUGGAAAGCUUCGGCGGUUUUGGGUGGACGCGCGGCUCAUCGGCUGGUUGGUGGGGUAGUGGGUUACCGAGGCAUUGACGGGUAGCCGGCCUGUGAGGGCGACCGGCCACAUUGGGGCUGAGAGACGGCCCAGACGCCGACGGGAGGCAGAAGUGGGGAAUAUUGCACAAUGGGCGGAGGCCUGAUGCAGCAGCGCCGCGUGCGGGAUGACGGCCUUCGGGUUGUAAACCGCUUUCAGCAGGGGCGAAGCUUGUGGUGACGGUACCUGCAGAAGAAGCACCGGCUAACUACGUG
RNAcentral lists this ribosomal RNA (465 nucleotides) under uncultured bacterium. Its description in RNAcentral is "partial 16S ribosomal RNA". It matches the Rfam family "Bacterial small subunit ribosomal RNA", at positions 28 to 507 of the family's 1533-position model. The record is from RNAcentral.